This 420-nucleotide ribosomal RNA is filed under the name uncultured bacterium. Its description in RNAcentral is "bacterial SSU rRNA". It matches the Rfam family "Bacterial small subunit ribosomal RNA", at positions 355 to 774 of the family's 1533-position model. The record is from RNAcentral.
UCAGGAAUAUUGCUCAAUGGGAGAAAUCCUGAAGCAGCAACGCCGCGUGGAGGAUGAAGGGUCUAUGACUUGUAAACUCCUGUAAAGAAGGAAAAAAUUCCCAUUAGAUGGGAGAUGAUGGUACUUCUGGAGUAAGCCCCGGCUAACUACGUGCCAGCAGCCGCGGUAAUACGUAGGGGGCAAGCGUUGUCCGGAUUUACUGGGUGUAAAGGGUGCUCAGGCGGAUUUGUAAGUCAGAGGUGAAAUCUUACAGCUUAACUGUGAAACUGCCUUAGAUACUGCAAGCCUAGAGAAUGGAAGAGAGUGAUGGAAUAUCUGGUGUAGCAGUGAAAUGCGUAGAUAUCAGAUAGAACACCAAUGGCGAAGGCAGUCACUUGGUCCAUUACUGACGCUAAAGCACGAAAGCGUGGGUAGCAAACA